This 88-nucleotide microRNA precursor is filed under the name Python bivittatus (Burmese python). RNAcentral describes it as "microRNA pbv-mir-9651 precursor". The stretch from base 10 to 88 matches the Rfam family "Small nucleolar RNA U3", at positions 1 to 80 of the family's 219-position model. From Rfam's summary of the family: Small nucleolar RNAs (snoRNAs) are involved in the processing and modification of rRNA in the nucleolus. There are two main classes of snoRNAs: the box C/D class, and the box H/ACA class. Lineage: Eukaryota; Metazoa; Chordata; Lepidosauria; Squamata; Pythonidae. The record is from miRBase by way of RNAcentral.
GUGGAAGUUAAGACUAUACUUUCAGGGAUCAUUUCUAUAGUAUCUAACUGGAGAAAUGCACUCGAAAGUGAUUGGCCGAACGAACCAC